UACGUAGGGUGCAAGCGUUAAUCGGAAUUACUGGGCGUAAAGCGUGCGCAGGCGGUUUUGUAAGUCAGAUGUGAAAUCCCCGGGCUUAACCUGGGAACUGCGUUUGAAACUACAAGGCUAGAGUGUGGCGGAGGGGGGUGGAAUUCCACGUGUAGCAGUGAAAUGCGUAGAGAUGUGGAGGAACACCGAUGGCGAAGGCAGCCCCCUGGGUUAACACUGACGCUCAGGCACGAAAGCGUGGGGAGCAAACAGG
This 253-nucleotide ribosomal RNA is filed under the name uncultured bacterium. RNAcentral's name for it is "partial 16S ribosomal RNA". It matches the Rfam family "Bacterial small subunit ribosomal RNA", at positions 524 to 776 of the family's 1533-position model. The record is from RNAcentral.